Molecule: non-coding RNA, 2036 nt
Organism: Petromyzon marinus (sea lamprey)
Lineage: Eukaryota; Metazoa; Chordata; Hyperoartia; Petromyzontiformes; Petromyzontidae
Source: RefSeq, a predicted model, not a curated record
UGGUGAGGUGCACGUCACACGUGGUGAGGUGCACGUCAGAGCGAGCGCCCCCACGUGGUGAGGUGCACGUUACACGUGGCGAGGUGCACGUCAGAGCGAGCGCCCCCACGUGGUGAGGUGCACGUUACACGUGGCGAGGUGCACGUCACACAUGGCGAGGUGCACGUCAGAGCGGGCGCCCCCACGUGGUGAGGUGCACGUCACACAUGGUGAGGUGCACGUCACACGUGGUGAGGUGCACGUCAGAGCGAGCGCCCCCACGUGGUGAGGUGCACGUUACACGUGGCGAGGUGCACGUCACACGUGGCGAGGUGCACGUCAGAGCGGGCGCCCCCACGUGGUGAGGUGCACGUCACACAUGGUGAGGUGCACGUCACACGUGGUGAGGUGCACGUCAGAGCGAGCGCCCCCACGUGGUGAGGUGCACGUUACACGUGGCGAGGUGCACGUCACACGUGGCGAGGUGCACGUCAGAGCGGGCGCCCCCACGUGGUGAGGUGCACGUCACACAUGGUGAGGUGCACGUCACACGUGGUGAGGUGCACGUCAGAGCGAGCGCCCCCACGUGGUGAGGUGCACGUUACACGUGGCGAGGUGCACGUCAGAGCGAGCGCCCCCACGUGGUGAGGUGCACGUCACACGUGGCGAGGUGCACGUCAGAGCGAGCGCCCCCACGUGGCGAGGUGCACCUCGUCACACGUGACGAGGUGCACGUCGCACGGGGCUGGGCGCGUGCCCCGACGUGGCAAGCGAGCGACGGCGAGCGACGGAUCGACGACCGAAUCAGAGACUCUUGAAGAACCCGCGAGCUGCGCUUGAACGCGACGAGCAUCACUGACGACGUUGACCCCCAACCACCCACCCCCCCACUGCUCCCGGAGGAGGAGGCAGGGAGUUUAAACGACGAGGGGGUGAACCAAACGUGGAGAGAUGUGCGAUCUUCCGCCUCCGUAAAUAUCUCCAUUGUAAAUCGGACUCACGUCUCAAAAAUACAAAAAAAAAGCCACGUGGAGAAUUUCGAUGUAUAUAAAAAAACAAACGUGAACUUCAACGUAAAAAGAACGGGAGCAAAACGUGCGGCAUCGGACUAAAUGACUGCUCAUCGAUUACAAAAUCUAGACACGUACAUUUUGUAUUCAUGUGCAUGUGUGUGUACGUGUGUGUACUCGUGUGCGCGCGUGCGUACGUGUGCGUGCGUCUGCGCGCACUUGGCAACAGGGAGCGGUGGUGCAGCGGUUGGCGUGCUGCGCUACGAACCCGGCGACCCCAGGUUCAAUUCCCGCUCACGGCCAACGACGGUGGCGAAAUAUCCAAACCGGUCCCCCUGGGCCUCCCCCCCCCCCCCCCCUAGGUCGACUCAGCCUCAAAACGAGGUGCUAGCGGCGUGCGUAAAUAUCAGCACCGGGGAGACAAAGGCGGCAGGGCGCGGUCGGUUCUGGCCACCCGCCCCCUCGUGCGGAGCGCCGGCCUUCGUAGGCACCGCUCGCUAACGGCACUCGUCCCAACAGCCCGUUAGAGGCCGCACGGGGGAGUCUUCGUGUGUGGGGGGCGCAUCAGCUACAGCGCCGGCGACGCAACUCCCGACGGGAGCCGAGCCGCCGCGACCGACCGACAGGGCCACCGCCACCCCGCGCCGCUGAACAAAGCCCAUCUCUGCCGGCCUGGCCCCCCACAGCUGGGCGGCCCCACGCCAGAGCCGCCGUGGCGCUCCGCGUGGCCGCCGACACCCCGGGACCCCGGGCAGGUGGGAUAAGCGACGUGGUGCCGGCUCCUCCCGUUGAUGUCUCCGUGCCGUAACCUCCCCAUUCUAGUGCCUCCUCCUCCGCUCCGUCCGUCGCCGUCUCAAGUCGUCGUCCCAUGCCUCGGUUUCCUUCCGCCAUUGCUUUUUGGUAGAUUGCUGUUUUUUUUUUAUUCCCGACUCUGGCGUCCCACUACCGCAGGCGCGACGACCGUCGCUUGCGCCGGGACGCGCGAAGAUGCAGAGAGAGAGACGAGAGAGACGCAGGGAGAGACACAUACAGAGACACAGAGACGGA